RNAcentral lists this ribosomal RNA (505 nucleotides) under uncultured bacterium. RNAcentral's name for it is "partial 16S ribosomal RNA". It matches the Rfam family "Bacterial small subunit ribosomal RNA", at positions 28 to 507 of the family's 1533-position model. The record is from RNAcentral.
GACGAACGCUGGCGGCGUGCCUAAUACAUGCAAGUAGAACGCACAGUUUAUACCGUAGCUUGCUACACCAUAGACUGUGAGUUGCGAACGGGUGAGUAACGCGUAGGUAACCUGCCUGGUAGCGGGGGAUAACUAUUGGAAACGAUAGCUAGUACCGCAUAAUAUUGAUUAUUGCAUGAUAAUUGAUUGAAAGAUGCUAUUGCAUCACUACCAGAUGGACCUGCGUUGUAUUAGCUAGUAGGUGAGGUAACGGCUCACCUAGGCGACGAUACGGAGCCGCCAUGCGGGGGUGGUCGGCCACACUGGGAGUGGGACACGGCCCAGACUCCUACGGGAGGGAGCAGUAGGGAAUCUUCGGCAAGGGGCGAAAGUCUGACCGAGAAAGGCGGAGGGAGGAAAGAAGGUUUUCGGAUCGUAAAGCUCUGUUGUAAGAGAAGAACGGGUGUGAGAGUGGAAAGUUCACACUGUGACGGUAACUGACAAGAAAGGGACGGCUAACUACGUG